Molecule: long non-coding RNA, 4916 nt
Filed under: Homo sapiens (human)
Lineage: Eukaryota; Metazoa; Chordata; Mammalia; Primates; Hominidae
Description: non-protein coding lnc-ALG3-1:1
Source: RNAcentral
GGCGCCGGGAGGCCGGCCCUGCGGGAACGGGCCGGGGAAGCUGGGCGCAGGGUGACGGGACGCCCACCCCGCGCUCCAGAGGCCAGCGCGAGAGUCUCACUCCAGCACCCGGACGGGGCCUGCCGGGGCGCGAGGCCGAGCGGGAGCUCCGUCGCGCCCUCCGCGGAGUUCUAGGUGCCCACGGGAUCCGUGUGGGUGGUGCCGCCUCUGCGCUCCGGGUGGCCCUCGGUCCCGGCACCUGCCGGCCGCCAGUUCGUGACUGUGGCUGCAGCGGCUCUGAGUCCCGGCAGGGGCGCGGGCCCUGCCGGCGGUGGUCCCGCCCCCGUUCCGAGAGGCCGCCCCUCCAGCCUGCCCUGGCCACGCCUGCUGCUGCUGCGGCGGGGCUGGCGCUCCCCCCUCCUUCGGGCGCGGUACCGCCUCCGCGCCAGCCGCGGCAGCCCGAGCCAGACUGGGCACCGCAGUGCAGGGACCGCGUCCCCGCCGCCGCACGGAUCCCCGUCACUGCAGGACCGAGGCCUCAGAGACCCCACCCUUUCCAUUCUUCAGGAAUCAGGCGUCCUGCAAGUGCCACCGACACUGCCGCGACCCCAGCUAUCCCAUUACCACGACGGCAUCCCAUUCCCCAGCCCACCCCACCCCCUGCCCUGGGUUGCUUCCCAUCGCUGCAGAGACCCUCCCUCCUGACUGCAGCGAACCCCCCAGCCCCCCAUCACCGUCACCGCAGGACUCUUCCCCCAAGAAGCUGGCCCCUUUCCUUUGCAAAGUGCUCUUCAUCACUGCAGAAAACCUCCCCCAUCCCUGCAGGUACUUUUAGUUCAUGCAGCCACUUCAGUGACCACUCACUCCAAGCAGGGAUUCCUCAUCACUGCAGCGACCUCCUCCCACCCCCAAGCAGCCGGCCUUGGCAUCGCUGCAGUGCCAACCACUUCUGCUGGGGUGGGAGGGUGUGCACAAUAGCGCCCUCAGCCUAUAACCCCUUGGUCUCUUCAGCUGUGCGGGCCUUGGGAGUGAAGCCUUCUAGCCUGAAGAGCCUUCUUAUGGCUGCAGACCGUCCCCUCAUAGCAGUGACCCCCACCCAUCACCGCAGCCCUGAAGAGAAAACAUCUCUGCUUGUCAGGAGGGCCCCUUGUUAUUGGCAGACUUUGCAUGUGCUUGACAGUGUUAUGCUGUCAAAAAGUAGGAAGGUCCGGAAAACCUCUCCCAGGUCCCCCAAGGAAGAGUCUGAGAGCCCUGGGGAAGUGAGAGGAGAUGACCAUGUUUGGGGAUCAUCCAUGUAAGCUUUUUGGCAGAUGCCAUACUGAGAUUCUGCAGAGAGAGCUUGAGGAGAGCUGGGGAUGGAGGACAGCCAGUAGGAAGUGAGCUUUCGAGUCGGGCCCAUGGUUCUCACUCCUCCGCAUUAACUCUCUCCUUCUGAUUUCAAUCACUAUCACCAGGGAUCAUCCCCCCGGGGGAUCCCUGCCUCCUUGAGUAUCUGAGCCCUCAACCCCAACCAUCUCCUUUGCUCACCCUACUUAGCAUGGUGGAGAGAGCUUGACCUUUUCCCAGGGAAUUUCAUGGGUGGAAAUGCACAGGAAUGAUACAGGGAGCACAGACACAGUCACACGUACCCAACACACAGGGAGCUCCAGCUGGGUCCUAGCCCUCUUUCCAUACUACCUGGGUCAUGGUUCCAUUCACCUCUCUCCCCCUUUCUCUACUGAGUCUGUUCUCAGCUUCAUCCUGAACGAGGGUCCCUCUUUCAGGCCUAGGGAGAAACAGUGGAUGGGCUGAUGGUCCCUCCAGGUGAUCCAGGGCCUCAGGUAGGACCAGCCCUGGCCCUGAGGGCCUCACAAAGGUCCAGGCAGUGGCCACCUUUCCACAAGCACCUUGUGCUCUGCCCCUUCUACAAAUGAACCAAGAGCUACAUGUAGCCCUUGGACAAACAUGAGGUUGCAAAUAGCAGUCAUUAGGGAGGUCUCCGACACAUGGAAAUGGAAAAAGAGGUCCUUCUGUUUGGUCCUGAGGAGAGCUUAGAUGUAAGACAGCCUCCCAGGAAGAUAGCAUCCCUAUCAGAGACCAGACACACACACUGGCAGAAGUCAAACUUUGCUGCAAAGCUGGACCAACCCUGAGAUCUUGCUAGGAAGGUCUCCUUAGCUGAGGCAAAUGGAGGGAGAGACAGGUGAAUGGCUCCACAAAAAGCAUAGGGCACCCUGCAGGAUGAGGGGCAGGGGGUGGGGAGCCAGUGCUGGCUGCCUGGCACCUUGGGUGGGGCAGUAAGAAGGGUCUCUGAGGCCCAGCUGGAAGGCCCUCUGGUGGUGAGGCAGCAGCAUGACAGCCAAGGGCAGAAGGGGACAGCACAGGAACCAGAUUCCAGAUCUGAGGCCGGGCUGAGGGAUAGCAUGGGGUGGGCUACGUGGUAGUCAUAGGAGAAUAGAUGAUAUAGAUGAUAUACAUAUAGAUAUAGAUAUAUAGAUAUAUUUUUUGAGACAGAGUUUCGCCCUGUCGUCCAGGCUGGAGUGUAGUGGAGCGAUCUCGGCUCACUGCAUGCAACAUCUGCCUCCCAGGUUCAAGUGAUUCUCCUGCCUCAGCCUCCUGAGAAGCUGGGAUUACAGGCGAGCACCAGCAUGCCUGGGUAAUUUUUUGGAUUUUUAGUAGAGACAGGGUUUCACCAUGUUGUCCAGGCUGGUCUUGAACUCCUGAGCUCAGGCAAUCUGCCUGCCUCAGCCUCCCAAAGUGCUAGGAUUAUAGGCAUGAGCCACUGCGCCUGGCCCAUAGGAGGAUAUUGAGCUGAAAAGACUUAGCUUCUGCCUAGGAGAGUCUCACACUUUAGUGAAAAGGGCAGACAAAUAUACAGUUACAGUAGCUUGAGAUAAGUGCUGCAUUACAAGAGUAAUAGUAAUGGAUAUUAUAAAAGCUUUUAACUGGCUGGCGGUGGCUCACACCUGUAAUGCCAGCACUUCAGGAGCCUAAGGCAGGAGAAUCCCUUGAGGCCAGGAGUUUGAGACCAGCCUGGACAACAUAGGGAGACCCUAUCUCCAUAACAAUUAAAAAUUAAAAAACAAAUCUUAACCAAGGGUGGUGGUGAUGUGGGGAAUAGGGUGAACCUUAGGGAACUGACUUAGAAAAUGGCACUCAGCCAGGUCUUCUUGUUGCAAAGCACAACUCAAUUAUCUCCUGCUUGUGGGCUGCCUGUCGGCCUUUGGAGGGCAGAGGUCUUAUUUCCCCAAACUAUAGAUGAUCUACCCUCUCAGAUUGGAGCUCCAGAAGAGAUAUACCUAGAGAAAAAGAGGAAUUUUGCCUCUUGCUGUCUAAAGCUUGACUUCCAAAAUCCCAGCCCCUGCCUGAAACCCAAAUUGGAAGAUGGUUUAGUUCAUUAAUUCAUUUGUUCACUCAAGAAAUAUUUCUUGUUGAAGCCUGCGGUGUGCUAGAGCUGGAACUACAGCAGAAAACAAGACAGUGGUAGCCCCUCCCCUCACGAAAGACGUCAAUUAAACAAUUAAUUUUUAAAUUUUGUAUUUCAAAAUAACUUCAAAACUUCUACAAAAGUUGCAAAUAAAGCAUUUUUUUCUGAACCAUUUCAAAUUAAGUUUUACACAUCCGACCUCUUUACCCCUAAACACUUCGGUUUGUCUUUUCUUUUCUUUUUUUUUUUUUUUUCAGAGACAGGGUCUCACUCUGUCACCCAGGCUGGAGUGGAGUGGCACAAUCAUAGCUCACUGCAGUCUUGAACUCUUGAGCUCAAAGGAUCCUUCCUCCUUGGCUUCCCAAAGUACUGGGGUUACAGGUGUGAGCCACCAUGCCCAGCCAGUUGGUGUGGGGGGGGGUAGUUUUUUUUAUUUGUUUGUUUGUUUGUUUGUUUUGAAACACAGUCUCACUGUUUUGCCUAGGCUGGAGUGCAAUGGCUCAAUCUCAGCUCACUGCAACCUCCGCCUCCCGGGUUCAAGUGAUUCUCAUGCCUCAACCUCCAGAGUAGCUGGGACUACAUGUGCACGCCAGAAUGCCUGGCUAAUUUUUGUGUUUUUGUUUUUAUUUUUAUUUUUUGAGAUGGAAUCUCACUCCGUAGUCCAGGCUAGAGUGCAGUGGUGCGUGUGCAAUCUCAGCUCACUGUGACCUCCACCUCCCAGUUCAAGCGAUUCUCCUGCCUCAGCCUCCCGAGUAGCUGAGAAUACAGGCACCCACCACCAUGCCCAGCUAAUUUUUGUAUUUUUAGUAGAGAUGGGGUUUCACCAAGUUGGUCAGGCUGGUCUCAAACUCCUGACCUCAAGUGAUCUGCCUGCCUCAGCCUCCCAAAGUGUUGGGAUUAUAGGUGUGAGCCACUGCUCCCAGCCUUUAAGAGUCUUCUACUGGGAGUAGUUUCUCCUUUUUGUCUUUUGUGAUACUGACACAUUUGAAGAGUACUGGCCAGUUGUUUUGUAGAAUGUCCGUCAGUUUGAGUUUGUCUGUUGUUUCCUCAUAAUUAGAUUCAGGAUAUGCACUUCCCAUAGGAACACCACAUAAGUGACGUUGUACCCUUCUCACUAUAUCUCAUUGGGAGGAUGUACAUGUCAGUUACAGUUACUGGCGAUUUUAACUUUGAUCCUUUCAAUAAGGUGGUGUGUUAGGGUUCUCCAGAGAAAACAGAACCAACAGAGAUUGAGAGAGAGAGAGAGAGAGAGAGAGAGAGAAUACGUAUAUAUAAAAUAAGGAAUUGGCUCGUGUGCUUGUACAGGCAAGUCCAGUGCGGGCUGGCGGGCUAAAGACCCUGGAGACCGGAUGGUGCAGAUGAAAUUUGGAGGCAGCCUGCUGGAGAAUUUCCUCUUUCUCAUGGAGGUCCAUCUUUUUGUUCUGUUCAGGCCUCAAGUGAUUAGAUGAGGAACAUUGUGAAGGUUAACUCUGGGUCUUAGCUUGACUAAAUUAAGGAAGACCUAUUCAGAAGCCGGGGCCAGGCGCGGUGG